Lagopus leucura (white-tailed ptarmigan) is the source of this 343-nucleotide long non-coding RNA. RefSeq lists it as uncharacterized. NCBI's taxonomy places the organism in Eukaryota, Metazoa, Chordata, Aves, Galliformes, Phasianidae. The record is from RefSeq and is a predicted model, not a curated record. The transcript has 4 exons.
GGUAGGAUGCCGCUGCAUUUACAGUGCAAUCAAAUGAGAAUGUGACAGAGACUCUGUAAGUGGUGGAUUUUGCUUCUUUUCUAAAUGGCACCCACUGCAUGUACAGCUGAGUGUGGACCUGGAGGAAAGUGAUUCUGCACAAACUGAUGAGCUUUGUGACCCACCUCUUUGAACAAUCCCCUUAUGUGUGUUUCAGCCCAACGCGUGUGGAAGAAGUGUUCCAGAAAGUUUUCCUGCAAACUGGAGAGUAUCGAGGCAGAGAUAAGGAGACAACUGGAACUGCUGAGAAAGAGAGCGAGGAAAAGGUCAGCAGCAUCCCUUCAGUAGUAGUGGAGCCAGCAUC